AAACCCUUGCGCCGCUUGGAGAAUGUGGCCUUGAGGUAGUUCUUGUUGUUUAUUUUCUUGAUGUCGAUCUUGUUCUUCCCCAUGAUGAUGAUUCUUAUAUCAUCUGCACAUGCGUACAUACAUACAUACAUACAUAUAUAUAUAUAUACACACACACACACACACACACACACGUCGUCUUCUUCCUCUGAAUCUUGUCCCAAAUCAGUAGGCGCAGUACCUUUGUUUGUAGAAUUGGUGGAGGGGGAAUUGUG
Molecule: long non-coding RNA, 254 nt
Filed under: Malus domestica (apple)
Lineage: Eukaryota; Viridiplantae; Streptophyta; Magnoliopsida; Rosales; Rosaceae
Description: long non-coding RNA (MDOM_LNC002685)
Source: RNAcentral